This 497-nucleotide ribosomal RNA is filed under the name uncultured bacterium. Its description in RNAcentral is "partial 16S ribosomal RNA". It matches the Rfam family "Bacterial small subunit ribosomal RNA", at positions 28 to 507 of the family's 1533-position model. The record is from RNAcentral.
GACGAACGCUGGCGGCGUGCCUAAUACAUGCAAGUUGAGCGCUGAAGGUUGGUACUUGUACCAACUGGAUGAGCAGCGAACGGGUGAGUAACGCGUGGGGAAUCUGCCUUUGAGCGGGGGACAACAUUUGGAAACGAAUGCUAAUACCGCAUAAAAACUUUAAACACAAGUUUUAAGUUUGAAAGAUGCAAUUGCAUCACUCAAAGAUGAUCCCGCGUUGUAUUAGCUAGUUGGUGAGGUAAAGGCUCAUCAAGGCGAUGAUACAUAGCCGACCUGAGAGGGUGAUCGGCCACAUUGGGACUGAGACACGGCCCAAACUCCUACGGGAGGCAGCAGUAGGGAAUCUUCGGCAAUGGACGAAAGUCUGACCGAGCAACGCCGCGUGAGUGAAGAAGGUUUUCGGAUCGUAAAACUCUGUUGGUAGAGAAGAACGUUGGUGAGAGUGGAAAGCUCAUCAAGUGACGGUAACUACCCAGAAAGGGACGGCUAACUACGUG